ACGGGGGAUGCAAGCGUUAUCCGGAAUUAUUGGGCGUAAAGAGUCCGUAGGUGGUCUUGCAAGUCGACUGUCAAAGCCCGCAGCUUAACUGCGGAGAGGCGGUGGAAACUGUGAGACUAGAGUAUGGUAGGGGUAGAGGGAAUUCCCAGUGUAGCGGUGAAAUGCGUAGAUAUUGGGAAGAACACCGGUGGCGAAAGCGCUCUACUGGACCAUAACUGACACUCAGGGACGAAAGCCAAGGUAGCGAAAGGG
This 252-nucleotide ribosomal RNA is filed under the name uncultured bacterium. RNAcentral's name for it is "partial 16S ribosomal RNA". It matches the Rfam family "Bacterial small subunit ribosomal RNA", at positions 525 to 776 of the family's 1533-position model. The record is from RNAcentral.